This 405-nucleotide ribosomal RNA is filed under the name uncultured bacterium. RNAcentral's name for it is "bacterial SSU rRNA". It matches the Rfam family "Bacterial small subunit ribosomal RNA", at positions 354 to 776 of the family's 1533-position model. The record is from RNAcentral.
GUGGGGAAUAUUGCACAAUGGGGGAAACCCUGAUGCAGCGACGCCGCGUGAGUGAAGAAGUAUUUCGGUAUGUAAAGCUCUAUCAGCAGGGACGAAGAUGACGGUACCUGCAGAAGAAGCCCCGGCUAACUACGUGCCAGCAGCCGCGGUAAUACGUAGGGGGCAAGCGUUAUCCGGAUUUACUGGGUGUAAAGGGAGCGUAGACGGCAGUGCAAGCCAGAAGUGAAAGCCCGGGGCUCAACCGCGGGACUGCUUUUGGAACUGCACGGCUGGAGUACAGGAGAGGUAAGCGGAAUUCCUAGUGUAGCGGUGAAAUGCGUAGAUAUUAGGAGGAACACCAGUGGCGAAGGCGGCUUACUGGACUGAGACUGACGUUGAGGCUCGAAAGCGUGGGGAGCAAACAGG